This 48-nucleotide transfer RNA is filed under the name Malayemys macrocephala (Malayan snail-eating turtle). Its description in RNAcentral is "partial tRNA-Leu". Lineage: Eukaryota; Metazoa; Chordata; Testudines; Geoemydidae. The record is from RNAcentral. RNAcentral also lists the same sequence under 1 other name.
CUUUUAAAGGAUAAAAGCAAUCCACUGGUUUUAGGAGCCAUUAACUCU